UACGAAGGGUGCAAACGUUGCUCGGAAUCAUUGGGCGUAAAGCGCACGUAGGCGGCCUCGCAAGUCGGACGUGAAAUCCCUCAGCUCAACUGAGGACGUGCAUCCGAAACUGCAAGGCUUGAGUACUGAAGAGGAUCGCGGAAUUCCCGGUGUAGAGGUGAAAUUCGUAGAUAUCGGGAGGAACACCAGUGGCGAAGGCGGCGAUCUGGGCAGAUACUGACGCUGAGGUGCGAAAGCGUGGGGAGCAAGCAGG
This 253-nucleotide ribosomal RNA is filed under the name uncultured bacterium. RNAcentral's name for it is "partial 16S ribosomal RNA". It matches the Rfam family "Bacterial small subunit ribosomal RNA", at positions 524 to 776 of the family's 1533-position model. The record is from RNAcentral.